This 516-nucleotide long non-coding RNA is filed under the name Gallus gallus (chicken). RNAcentral's name for it is "long non-coding RNA NONGGAT007766". Lineage: Eukaryota; Metazoa; Chordata; Aves; Galliformes; Phasianidae. The record is from RNAcentral.
GCUGGGAGCUGAGCGCAGGGUGAGCUGACACGGAUGGGGGGACCCGUGCAGCGGGGGGAUGGAGCGGGGAGCGGCGUGUGAGCAGUAACAGCACUCCAGGAGCAGCACAGCCUCCCUGCCUCUGCCGUGCAGUGAAACUGCCAGGACCGAGGGCUGGGGGCACGGCCAGCAGCGAAAUAAACACAGGAAAAAUGGGAGGAAAGCCGUUCCGGGGAAGAAAAGCAACGGACUUCUCUCAGAUGUUACAGAAAAGCGAAAAAGGGAAGUUCCUCGGGUCUUUCUCCGUAUACUUCCCAUCGACGCGGCCAUUACCGAAACAGAAAGGCACGGCGGAGGCACAGCCGCAGGGCCGCGGCCGCCGGAGGAAACGAGCUGCGCCGGAGCUCCGCCGGCCCCUGACGGGCACUGCCCCGCGGCACGGCGCAACUUCGGCUCCGGAUGGAAGUUGCGUCCCAGGAGCUUCCGAACGGGGACUUACGCGACGGCUGACAGUAAAGUAAUGUAAUUGCGCCGUCG